RNAcentral lists this ribosomal RNA (171 nucleotides) under Triticum aestivum (bread wheat). Its description in RNAcentral is "partial small subunit ribosomal RNA". The record is from RNAcentral. Lineage: Eukaryota; Viridiplantae; Streptophyta; Magnoliopsida; Poales; Poaceae.
AUGGGCAACUUUUUUCUAUAUGUUGCUCGUGAGCCGCCAAGUACCAGUCUCGCAACAGUACUUGCGUUAAAGGAUCGGUCCUUCACUUGCGGAUCGUUCGCGAGUCGAACUUGCUCUCUUGCCACGCCUUUGACUAACGAACUCGAGUCGGACUCAUUCACAAAAUUCUGA